UGGGGAAUCUUGCACAAUGGGCGCAGGCCUGAUGCAGCCAUGCCGCGUGAAUGAUGAAGGCCUUAGGGUUGUAAAGUUCUUUCGCCCGUGACGCGGUAACGGGAGAAGAAGCCCCGGCUAACUUCGUGCCAGCAGCCGCGGUAAUACGAAGGGGGCUAGCGUUGUUCGGAAUUACUGGGCGUAAAGCGCGCGCAGGCGGCUUGACAAGCCAGGGGUGAAAUCCCGGAGCUCAACUCCGGAAUGGCCUUUGGAACUGUCUGGCUGGAGGUCGGAAGAGGCGAGUGGAAUUCCCAGUGUAGAGGUGAAAUUCGUAGAUAUUGGGAAGAACACCAGUGGCGAAGGCGGCUCGCUGGUCCGGACCUGACGCUGAGGCGCGAAAGCGUGGGGAGCAAACAGGAUUAGAUACCCGAGUAGU
Molecule: ribosomal RNA, 415 nt
Filed under: uncultured bacterium
Lineage: Bacteria
Description: bacterial SSU rRNA
Rfam family: Bacterial small subunit ribosomal RNA
Source: RNAcentral